This 435-nucleotide ribosomal RNA is filed under the name uncultured bacterium. RNAcentral describes it as "bacterial SSU rRNA". It matches the Rfam family "Bacterial small subunit ribosomal RNA", at positions 339 to 791 of the family's 1533-position model. The record is from RNAcentral.
UUACGGGAGGCAGCAGUUGGGAAUCUUGGACAAUGGGGGAAACCCUGAUCCAGCCAUGCCGCGUGAGUGAUGAAGGCCUUAGGGUUGUAAAGCUCUUUUACCCGGGAAGAUAAUGACUGUACCGGGAGAAUAAGCUCCGGCUAACUUCGUGCCAGCAGCCGCGGUAAUACGAAGGGGGCUAGCGUUGUUCGGAAUUACUGGGCGUAAAGCGUGCGCAGGCGGUCUCUCAAGUCAGGGGUGAAAGCCCAGAGCUCAACUCUGGAACUGCCCUUGAAACUGUGAGGCUCGAGUGCGGGAGAGGUGAGUGGAAUUCCCAGUGUAGAGGUGAAAUUCGUAGAUAUUGGGAAGAACACCGGUGGCGAAGGCGGCUCACUGGCCCGUUUCUGACGCUCAUGCACGAUAGCGUGGGGAUCAAACAGGAUUAGAUACCCCGGU